RNAcentral lists this ribosomal RNA (254 nucleotides) under uncultured bacterium. Its description in RNAcentral is "partial 16S ribosomal RNA". It matches the Rfam family "Bacterial small subunit ribosomal RNA", at positions 524 to 776 of the family's 1533-position model. The record is from RNAcentral.
UACGUAGGGACCAAGCGUUGUUCGGAUUUACUGGGCGUAAAGGGCGCGUAGGCGGCAAAUUAAGUCAUCUGUGAAAUCUCCGAGCUUAACUCGGAACGGUCAGGUGAUACUGAUCUGCUAGAGUGCGGAAGGGGCAAUCGGAAUUCUUGGUGUAGCGGUGAAAUGCGUAGAUAUCAAGAGGAACAUCUGAGGUGAAGACGGGUUGCUGGGCCGACACUGACGCUGACAGCGCGAAAGCCAGGGGAGCAAACGGG